Molecule: ribosomal RNA, 253 nt
Filed under: uncultured bacterium
Lineage: Bacteria
Description: partial 16S ribosomal RNA
Rfam family: Bacterial small subunit ribosomal RNA
Source: RNAcentral
UACAGAGGUCCCAAGCGUUGUUCGGAUUCACUGGGCGUAAAGGGUGCGUAGGUGGUUGGAUAAGUCUGAUGUGAAAUCUCCGAGCUUAACUCGGAAAUGGCAUUGGAAACUAUUCAACUAGAGAGUUGGAGGGGGGACUGGAAUACUUGGUGUAGCAGUGAAAUGCGUAGAUAUCAAGUGGAACACCAGUGGCGAAGGCGAGUCCCUGGACAACUUCUGACACUGAGGCACGAAAGCUAGGGGAGCAAACAGG